UCUUACUGAAUUAGAAAACGG
Molecule: non-coding RNA, 21 nt
Filed under: Caenorhabditis elegans
Lineage: Eukaryota; Metazoa; Nematoda; Chromadorea; Rhabditida; Rhabditidae
Source: RNAcentral